UGCGAGUGAAGCGGGAAAAGCUCAAAUUUAAAAUCUGGCAGUCUUUGGCUGUCCGAGUUGUAAUCUAGAGAAGUGUUGCCCACACUGGACCGUGUAUAAGUCUUCUGGAAUGAAGCGUCAUAGAGGGUGAGAAUCCCGUCUUUGACAUGGACUCCCAGUGUAUUGUGGCGUGCUCUCAAAGAGUCGAGUUGUUUGGGAAUGCAGCUCUAAAUGGGUGGUAACCUCCAUCUAAAGCUAAAUAUUGGCGAGAGACCGAUAGUGAACAAGUACCGUGAGGGAAAGAUGAAAAGAACUUUGGAAAGAGAGUUAAACAGUACGUGAAAUUGUUGAAAGGGAAACGCUUGAAGUCAGUCACAUUGGCCAGGGAUCAACCCAGCUCUUUUGUUGGGUGUAUUUCCUGGUUUGAUGGGCCAAUGUCAGUUUUGACUGCUAGAGAAGGGCAGAGGGAAUGUGGCACCUUCCGGGGUGUGUUUUAUAGCCUUUUGUCAUAUAUAGCAGUUGGGACUGAGGAAUGCAGCGUGCCUACAAGGCCGGGUUUCGACCACGUUCGCGCUUUGGAUGUUGGCAAUAAUGGCUUUAAUCGACCCGUCUUGAAACACGGACCAAGGAGUCUAACAUAUCUGCGAGUGUUUGGGUGGAAAACCCGAGUGCACAAUGAAAGUGAAAGUUGAGAUCCUUGUCGUGAGGAGCAUCGACGCCCGGACCUGAGCUUUUAGCAAUGGAUCUGCGGUAGAGCAUGUAUGUUGGGACCCGAAAGAUGGUGAACUAUGCCUGAAUAGGGCGAAGCCAGAGGAAACUCUGGUGGAGGCUCGUAGCGAUUCUGACGUGCAAAUCGAUCGUCGAAUUUGGGGUAU
RNAcentral lists this ribosomal RNA (854 nucleotides) under Amanita hunanensis. Its description in RNAcentral is "eukaryotic LSU rRNA". It matches the Rfam family "Eukaryotic large subunit ribosomal RNA", at positions 88 to 918 of the family's 3401-position model. The record is from RNAcentral. Lineage: Eukaryota; Fungi; Basidiomycota; Agaricomycetes; Agaricales; Amanitaceae.